CAGCACCUCAAGUGGUCAGGAUGAUUAUUGAGCCUAAAGCAUCCGUAGCCGGCUCUGUAAGUUUUCGGUUAAAUCUGUACGCUCAACGUACAGGCUGCCGGGAAUACUGCAGAGCUAGGGAGUGGGAGAGGUAGACGGUACUCGGUAGGAAGGGGUAAAAUCCUUUGAUCUAUUGAUGACCACCUGUGGCGAAGGCGGUCUACCAGAACACGUCCGACGGUGAGGGAUGAAAGCUGGGGGAGCAAACCGGAUUAGAUACCCGAGUAGUCC
RNAcentral lists this ribosomal RNA (270 nucleotides) under uncultured archaeon. RNAcentral's name for it is "partial 16S ribosomal RNA". It matches the Rfam family "Archaeal small subunit ribosomal RNA", at positions 477 to 747 of the family's 1478-position model. The record is from RNAcentral.